This 303-nucleotide ribosomal RNA is filed under the name uncultured bacterium. RNAcentral describes it as "bacterial SSU rRNA". It matches the Rfam family "Bacterial small subunit ribosomal RNA", at positions 355 to 674 of the family's 1533-position model. The record is from RNAcentral.
UAGGGAAUUUUGCGCAAUGGGCGAAAGCCUGACGCAGCAACGCCGCGUGAUUGAUGACGCCCUUCGGGGUGUAAAGAUCUGUCAGUGGGGACGAAAAAUGACGGUACCCACAGAGGAAGCACCGGCUAACUCCGUGCCAGCAGCCGCGGUAAUACGGAGGGUGCAAGCGUUGUCCGGAAUCAUUGGGCGUAAAGAGUUCGUAGGUGGCCUGUUAAGUCAGGUGUUAAAGGUCGAGGCUCAACCUCGGUAUGGCACUUGAUACUGGCAAGCUUGAAUUCGGUAGAGGUAAAGGGAAUUCCUGGU